This 1194-nucleotide long non-coding RNA is filed under the name Homo sapiens (human). RNAcentral describes it as "novel transcript". The record is from RNAcentral. Lineage: Eukaryota; Metazoa; Chordata; Mammalia; Primates; Hominidae.
AGUGUCCUCACCUUACUAACACCUGCCCACAGGGGGAAUUUUGAUAUAUCACUAAAACCAGCAUCCAGAUGAUGUGACUCUUCUUCCAGGGUCCUGCUCACAGAAAGAUUGUGACAUCUCACUGGACCAGCACCCGCGCAGAUGAUGUGACCUUCCUGCUUGUUCUCUGUUCACAGGUAAUAUUGUGCCAUAUACCAGAGACCAGAUCAAAGGCCUAAUAAGGACUCUUGUACCUGGAGCCAGGACUUGUGCAGGAUGGUGACUCUCAUCCCUGAACAUUUCCACAGGUGUUAUUGUGACAUAUACCUGUGCCCACCUCCUGAGUGAUUUAAUAAUCCUGCCUGUUAUAGCCCACAGAUGACAUAUUGACGUAUACCUGGGCCAAGAACCUUGGUGAUUUGACUCUCAUAUCUUAACAGUGUCCUCAGAAGGGACCGUCACAUAUCUCUGGACCCAUCAUCUAGGUUAUGUGACUCUCCUCUCCUACCUGAACCCUGCUUCCAGUGAAGAGUGUAGCAUUUCUAAGCACUGCAUCCAAAUGACAUGACUCUCUUGCCUGGGCCCUUUUAACAGGAGUUGUGACAUAUCUCUAGGCCCAUCACUUAGGUGAUGCGACUCUCCUUUCCUGCCUGGAUGUUCUCCACAAGAGGCAUUAUGCCAUAGAGCUGAGCCUAGCACCCAAGUUUUGUGACUUUUCUGUUAGGGCCCUGCCUACAAAGAGAAUAUUGGAAUAUUUCUGGCUUAGGAUUUAGGUGAUGUGGUUGUCCUGCCUGUUUAAUAACUACAGAGGGGAUGGUGACACAUACCUAGGCACAGCUAACGGGCAUGAUAAUGACUCAUAUGUGGACCCAGCCAAUAGGAGAAAUUUUGACUCAUAACUAGGUUUAGGGACAUGAGUGAUGUAAAGGGUCUCCUUCUGGUAAAAAGGUCACAGAAGAUUAUAACACACACAUAUUUUAUAACACCCUUGGGUUGUAUAGAGAGUGUCAGAACAGGGCCUAGCACAUGGAGAAAAUUGUGAGUCUCAUAUGCACACCCACCUGACAGUAAGGACUUUCACCAUCACAGAUGGAUGAAGGCAACUGUCCUACAUGAAAACAGAACAUGUGUGGUAUUGUAAAUCUAAUCCCUAAAAUUUUAUUUCAUCGUGAUAGUCAUGUGAUAUAAAUUUCAUGUGAUAUAAAUCUUUGCCAA